GCUUGGACACAAAAUCUGGAGAUAUAUUAGUGGAAAAUGGUCCUAUAAGAGAUCUAAAGGCUUAAUUAGUGAUUUUGCAGCUAAAAAUACAAGGAGGAUAAUUUUUCGAUGAUACUUUUUGAUGCUAAAGGCUUCGAUAUCUGAUGAAGGUGACCGAAGAGAUGAAGAAUGGGCAAUAGCACUUGAAAAGUAUGUUAAAGAUUAUUCAGAUGCAAAAAAAUCAGGGCCCCUAAAAUCUCAGAACCGGCCCUGGAGGGGA
Long non-coding RNA from Asparagus officinalis (garden asparagus), 259 nucleotides. RefSeq lists it as uncharacterized. Lineage: Eukaryota; Viridiplantae; Streptophyta; Magnoliopsida; Asparagales; Asparagaceae. The transcript has 3 exons. The record is from RefSeq and is a predicted model, not a curated record.